Molecule: transfer RNA, 74 nt
Filed under: Loxodonta africana (African savanna elephant)
Lineage: Eukaryota; Metazoa; Chordata; Mammalia; Proboscidea; Elephantidae
Rfam family: tRNA
About the family: Transfer RNA (tRNA) molecules are approximately 80 nucleotides in length. Their secondary structure includes four short double-helical elements and three loops (D, anti-codon, and T loops).
Source: Rfam by way of RNAcentral
CCCUGGGUAAUGUAAACGGUUAAUGUACUCAGCUGCUAACUGAAAUGUUGGUGGUUCAAGUCCACCUAUAGUGG